Molecule: unclassified non-coding RNA, 300 nt
Filed under: Hevea brasiliensis (rubber tree)
Lineage: Eukaryota; Viridiplantae; Streptophyta; Magnoliopsida; Malpighiales; Euphorbiaceae
Source: RNAcentral
GGAUGCUAAAGUUUGGAGACCUACAAGUUGAGCUUACUCCUGAAAAAGCAAACAUUGGUGCCGUAAUUGCUGUUGUUUUUGCAAUAAUUUCCUGGCAAUUGAGUCAGGCCAUUCAAAAUACUCCCGAAAGCUCUUUGCAGUAUGCGAAUGACAAUGCAUUGCUACUAGCUAAGUCACUAAGGGGAGCCCUUCUUGCAAUUUGUUAUUCAUCUACCAUCCUGUCAGCGUGUUCUACGAUAGGGCUUCUGUUGUUGGGAAGACAACUGAGCGCUGAGAGUAAGUCCAAGAACCUCUAACCAA